This 535-nucleotide ribosomal RNA is filed under the name Neostictis nigricans. RNAcentral's name for it is "SSU rRNA". It matches the Rfam family "Eukaryotic small subunit ribosomal RNA", at positions 565 to 1105 of the family's 1831-position model. Lineage: Eukaryota; Fungi; Ascomycota; Lecanoromycetes; Ostropales; Stictidaceae. The record is from RNAcentral.
GGCCAGCAGCCGCGGUAAUUCCAGCUCCAAUAGCGUAUAUUAAAGUUGUUGCAGUUAAAAAGCUCGUAGUUGAACCUUGGGUCUGGCUGACCGGUCCGCCUCACCGCGUGUACUGGUUCGGCCGGACCUUUCCUUCUGGGGAACCGCAUGCCCUUAACUGGGUGUGUUGGAGAACCAGGACUUUUACUUUGAAAAAAUUAGAGUGUUCAAAGCAGGCCUAUGCUCGAAUACAUUAGCAUGGAAUAAUAGAAUAGGACGGCGUUCUUAUUUUGUUGGUUUCUAAGACCGCCGUAAUGAUUAAUAGGGAUAGUCGGGGGCAUCAGUAUUCAAUUGUCAGAGGUGAAAUUCUUGGAUUUAUUGAAGACUAACUACUGCGAAAGCAUUUGCCAAGGAUGUUUUCAUUAAUCAGUGAACGAAAGUUAGGGGAUCGAAGACGAUCAGAUACCGUCGUAGUCUUAACCAUAAACUAUGCCGACUAGGGAUCGGACGGUGUUAUUAUUUUGACCCGUUCGGCACCUUACGAGAAAUCAAAGUC